This 1476-nucleotide ribosomal RNA is filed under the name Citrobacter braakii. Its description in RNAcentral is "partial 23S ribosomal RNA". It matches the Rfam family "Bacterial large subunit ribosomal RNA", at positions 1490 to 2925 of the family's 2925-position model. Lineage: Bacteria; Pseudomonadati; Pseudomonadota; Gammaproteobacteria; Enterobacterales; Enterobacteriaceae. The record is from RNAcentral.
GCCGGGCGACGGUUGUCCCGGUUUAAGCAUGUAGGCGGAGAUUCCAGGUAAAUCCGGAGUCUUGUUAACGCUGAGGUGUGAUGACGAGGCACUACGGUGCUGAAGUAACAAAUGCCCUGCUUCCAGGAAAAGCCUCUAAGCAUCAGGUAACACAAAAUCGUACCCCAAACCGACACAGGUGGUCAGGUAGAGAAUACCAAGGCGCUUGAGAGAACUCGGGUGAAGGAACUAGGCAAAAUGGUGCCGUAACUUCGGGAGAAGGCACGCUGAUAUGUAGGUGAAGUGAUUUACUCAUGGAGCUGAAAUCAGUCGAAGAUACCAGCUGGCUGCAACUGUUUAUUAAAAACACAGCACUGUGCAAACACGAAAGUGGACGUAUACGGUGUGACGCCUGCCCGGUGCCGGAAGGUUAAUUGAUGGGGUUAUCCGUAAGGAGAAGCUCUUGAUCGAAGCCCCGGUAAACGGCGGCCGUAACUAUAACGGUCCUAAGGUAGCGAAAUUCCUUGUCGGGUAAGUUCCGACCUGCACGAAUGGCGUAAUGAUGGCCAGGCUGUCUCCACCCGAGACUCAGUGAAAUUGAACUCGCUGUGAAGAUGCAGUGUACCCGCGGCAAGACGGAAAGACCCCGUGAACCUUUACUAUAGCUUGACACUGAACACUGGUCCUUGAUGUGUAGGAUAGGUGGGAGGCUUUGAAGUGUGGACGCCAGUCUGCAUGGAGCCAACCUUGAAAUACCACCCUUUAAUGGCUGGUGUUCUAACGUAGACCCGUGAUCCGGGUUGCGGACAGUGUCUGGUGGGUAGUUUGACUGGGGCGGUCUCCUCCUAAAGAGUAACGGAGGAGCACGAAGGUUAGCUAAUCCUGGUCGGACAUCAGGAGGUUAGUGCAAAGGCAUAAGCUAGCUUGACUGCGAGAGUGACGGCUCGAGCAGGUGCGAAAGCAGGUCUUAGUGAUCCGGUGGUUCUGAAUGGAAGGGCCAUCGCUCAACGGAUAAAAGGUACUCCGGGGAUAACAGGCUGAUACCGCCCAAGAGUUCAUAUCGACGGCGGUGUUUGGCACCUCGAUGUCGGCUCAUCACAUCCUGGGGCUGAAGUAGGUCCCAAGGGUAUGGCUGUUCGCCAUUUAAAGUGGUACGCGAGCUGGGUUUAGAACGUCGUGAGACAGUUCGGUCCCUAUCUGCCGUGGGCGCUGGAGAAUUGAGGGGGGCUGCUCCUAGUACGAGAGGACCGGAGUGGACGCAUCACUGGUGUUCGGGUUGUCAUGCCAAUGGCAUUGCCCGGUAGCUAAAUGCGGAAGAGAUAAGUGCUGAAAGCAUCUAAGCACGAAACUUGCCCCGAGAUGAGUUCUCCCUGACCCUUUAAGGGUCCUGAAGGAACGUUGAAGACGACGACGUUGAUAGGUCGGGUGUGUAAGCGUAGCGAUACGUUGAGCUAACCGAUACUAAUGAACCGUGAGGCUUAACCUUACAACGCCGAA